AACGAACGCUGGCGGCAGGCCUAACACAUGCAAGUCGAGCGCCCCGCAAGGGGAGCGGCGGACGGGUGAGUAACACGUGGGAAUUUUCCUCAAGGUACGGAACAACUCAGGGAAACUUGGGCUAAUACCGUAUGAUGCAGAGAUGCCAAAGAUUUAUCGCCUUGGGAUAAGCCCGCGUCAGAUUAGGUAGUUGGUGGGGUAAUGGCCUACCAAGCCUGUGAUCUGUAGCUGGUCUGAGAGGACGAUCAGCCACAUUGGGACUGAGACACGGCCCAAACUCCUACGGGAGGCAGCAGUGGGGAAUCUUGCGCAAUGGACGAAAGUCUGACGCAGCCAUGCCGCGUGAAUGAUGAAGGUCUUAGGAUUGUAAAGUUCUUUAGCCUGUGACGAUGAUGACGGUAACAGGAGAAUAAGCCCCGGCUAACUUCGUGCCAGCAGCCGCGGUAAGGAUGAGACGU
This 458-nucleotide ribosomal RNA is filed under the name uncultured bacterium. RNAcentral describes it as "bacterial SSU rRNA". It matches the Rfam family "Bacterial small subunit ribosomal RNA", at positions 29 to 533 of the family's 1533-position model. The record is from RNAcentral.